RNAcentral lists this transfer RNA (68 nucleotides) under Anaspis sp. ANA02. RNAcentral's name for it is "tRNA-Asp". The record is from RNAcentral. Lineage: Eukaryota; Metazoa; Arthropoda; Insecta; Coleoptera; Scraptiidae.
AAAAAUUUAGUUAAUCUAGUAUAACAUCAAUUUGUCAAAUUGAAAUAAAUAAUUCUUAUUAAUUUUUU